UACGUAGGGUGCGAGCGUUAAUCGGAAUUACUGGGCGUAAAGGGUGCGCAGGUGGUCGGGUGUGUCAGAUGUGAAAUCCCGGAGCUUAACUCCGGAACUGCGUCUGAAACUGCACGACUUGAGCAUUGGAGAGGGUAGUGGAAUUCACGGUGUAGCAGUGAAAUGCGUAGAUAUCGUGAGGAACACCAGAGGCGAAGGCGACUACCUGGACAAUUGCUGACACUCAGACACGAAAGUAUGGGGAGCAAAAGGG
Molecule: ribosomal RNA, 253 nt
Filed under: uncultured bacterium
Lineage: Bacteria
Description: partial 16S ribosomal RNA
Rfam family: Bacterial small subunit ribosomal RNA
Source: RNAcentral